UGGGGAAUAUUGCACAAUGGGCGCAAGCCUGAUGCAGCCAUGCCGCGUGUGUGAAGAAGGCCUUCGGGUUGUAAAGCACUUUCAGCGGGGAGGAAGGCGGUGAGGUUAAUAACCUCAUCGAUUGACGUUACCCGCAGAAGAAGCACCGGCUAACUCCGUGCCAGCAGUCGCGGUAAUACGGAGGGUGCAAGCGUUAAUCGGAAUUACUGGGCGUAAAGCGCACGCAGGCGGUCUGUCAAGUCGGAUGUGAAAUCCCCGGGCUCAACCUGGGAACUGCAUUCGAAACUGGCAGGCUAGAGUCUUGUAGAGGGGGGUAGAAUUCCAGGUGUAGCGGUGAAAUGCGUAGAGAUCUGGAGGAAUACCGGUGGCGAAGGCGGCCCCCUGGACAAAGACUGACGCUCAGGUGCGAAAGCGUGGGGAGCAAACAGG
RNAcentral lists this ribosomal RNA (429 nucleotides) under Chloroflexota bacterium. Its description in RNAcentral is "Chloroflexi bacterium partial 16S ribosomal RNA". It matches the Rfam family "Bacterial small subunit ribosomal RNA", at positions 355 to 776 of the family's 1533-position model. The record is from RNAcentral. Lineage: Bacteria; Bacillati; Chloroflexota.